This 459-nucleotide ribosomal RNA is filed under the name Bacillus sp. (in: firmicutes). Its description in RNAcentral is "bacterial SSU rRNA". It matches the Rfam family "Bacterial small subunit ribosomal RNA", at positions 49 to 491 of the family's 1533-position model. The record is from RNAcentral. Lineage: Bacteria; Bacillati; Bacillota; Bacilli; Caryophanales; Bacillaceae.
CUAUACAUGCAGUCGAGCGGACAGAUGGGAGCUUGCUCCCUGAUGUUAGCGGCGGACGGGUGAGUAACACGUGGGUAACCUGCCUGUAAGACUGGGAUAACUCCGGGAAACCGGGGCUAAUACCGGAUGGUUGUUUGAACCGCAUGGUUCAAACAUAAAAGGUGGCUUCGGCUACCACUUACAGAUGGACCCGCGGCGCAUUAGCUAGUUGGUGAGGUAACGGCUCACCAAGGCAACGAUGCGUAGCCGACCUGAGAGGGUGAUCGGCCACACUGGGACUGAGACACGGCCCAGACUCCUACGGGAGGCAGCAGUAGGGAAUCUUCCGCAAUGGACGAAAGUCUGACGGAGCAACGCCGCGUGAGUGAUGAAGGUUUUCGGAUCGUAAAGCUCUGUUGUUAGGGAAGAACAAGUACCGUUCGAAUAGGGCGGUACCUUGACGGUACCUAACCAGAAAGC